AUGGGGAAGUACGUGGAGCUGCUGGACAUGGGGGUGCGCAUCGCCGCGCGGUUCCACUCCCACUGCCCGCAGACGGCCCGGAUGUACUACCACCCUCCCGCCUCCUCCUCGGCCGCCCCCGGCGCCGGCGACGCCGGCGGGAUGGUGCCCGGCGAAGGAGGCGCCGUGGCCAUGGCCAUGAUGAAGAGGCAGCAGCGGGCCGCCAUCGACGCCACGGAGAUUAUUCUCUACACCGUCGUCUAG
This 243-nucleotide ribosomal RNA is filed under the name Triticum aestivum (bread wheat). Its description in RNAcentral is "partial small subunit ribosomal RNA". Lineage: Eukaryota; Viridiplantae; Streptophyta; Magnoliopsida; Poales; Poaceae. The record is from RNAcentral.